CUGGCGGCAGGCCUAACACAUGCAAGUCGAGCGGUAACAGAGAGUAGCUUGCUACUUUGCUGACGAGCGGCGGCGGGUGAGUAAUGCUUGGGGAUCUGCCCAUUCGAGGGGAUAACCAUUGGAAACGAUGGCUAAUACCGCAUACGCCCUACGGGGGAAAGAAGGGGACCUUCGGGCCUUUCGCGAUUGGAUGAACCCAAGUGAGAUUAGCUUGUUGGUGAGGUAAUGGCUCACCAAGGCGACGAUCUCUAACUGGUCUGAGAGGAUGACCAGUCACACUGGGACUGAGACACGGCCCAGACUCCUACGGGAGGCAGCAGUGGGGAAUAUUGGACAAUG
RNAcentral lists this ribosomal RNA (339 nucleotides) under uncultured bacterium. RNAcentral describes it as "bacterial SSU rRNA". It matches the Rfam family "Bacterial small subunit ribosomal RNA", at positions 36 to 373 of the family's 1533-position model. The record is from RNAcentral.